Molecule: transfer RNA, 100 nt
Filed under: Thermofilum sp. NZ13
Lineage: Archaea; Thermoproteati; Thermoproteota; Thermoprotei; Thermofilales; Thermofilaceae
Description: tRNA-Val
Rfam family: tRNA
About the family: Transfer RNA (tRNA) molecules are approximately 80 nucleotides in length. Their secondary structure includes four short double-helical elements and three loops (D, anti-codon, and T loops). Further hydrogen bonds mediate the characteristic L-shaped molecular structure. tRNAs have two regions of fundamental functional importance: the anti-codon, which is responsible for specific mRNA codon recognition, and the 3' end, to which the tRNAs corresponding amino acid is attached (by aminoacyl-tRNA synthetases). tRNAs cope with the degeneracy of the genetic code in two manners: having more than one tRNA (with a specific anti-codon) for a particular amino acid; and 'wobble' base-pairing, i.e. permitting non-standard base-pairing at the 3rd anti-codon position.
Source: RNAcentral
GGGCCCGUCGUCUAGUGGCUAGAGUGAGCCGGGGUAGGCUCACAGCUAUGAUGCCACCCUGACACGGUGGUGGUCCCGGGUUCAAAUCCCGGCGGGCCCA